UGGGGAAUUUUGCACAAUGGGGGGAACCUUGAUGCAGCGACGCCGCGUGAGGGAUGGAGGCCUUCGGGUUGUGAACCUCUUUCGCUCGUGUGCAAGCCGCUAUUUGGGUAGUGGUGAGUGUAGCGGGUAAAGAAGCGCCGGCUAACUACGUGCCAGCAGCCGCGGUAAUACGUAGGGCGCGAGCGUUGUCCGGAUUUAUUGGGCGUAAAGGGCUUGUAGGCGGUUUGUCGCGCCUGUCGUGUAAUCCUCUGGCUUAACUGGGGGUGUGCGGUGGGUACGGGCAGGCUUGAGUGCGGUAGGGGUGACUGGAAUUCCAGGUGUAGCGGUGGAAUGCGCAGAUAUCUGGAGGAACACCGAUGGCGAAGGCAGGUCACUGGGCCAUUACUGACGCUGAGGAGCGAAAGCAUGGGUAGCGAACAGG
Molecule: ribosomal RNA, 421 nt
Filed under: Fusobacteriota bacterium
Lineage: Bacteria; Fusobacteriati; Fusobacteriota
Description: Fusobacteria bacterium partial 16S ribosomal RNA
Rfam family: Bacterial small subunit ribosomal RNA
Source: RNAcentral